UGAAAGACAAUUUAGAGAGGGGAGAGACUUGAGAUCAGGAGAUCCCCCCCCAAAAAAAAGGAAGGAAGGAAGGAAGGAAGGAAGAAAGAAAGAAAGAAACAAAGGAAGGAAGGAAGGAAGGAAGGAAGGAAGGAAGGAAGGAAGGAAGGAAGGAAGGAAGGAAGGAAGGAAGGAAGGAAGGAAGGAAGGAAGGAAGGAAGGAAGGAAGGAAGGAAGGAAGGAAGGAAGGAAGGAAGGAAGGAAGGAAGGAAGGAAGGAAGGAAGGAAGGAAGGAAGGAAGGAAGGAAGGAAGGAAGGAAGAAAGAAAGAAAGAAAGAAAGAAAGAAAGGAAGAAGGAAGAAUGAAAGAAGGAAGAAAGAAAGAAAGAAAGAAAGAAAGAAGAAAGAAUGAAACUAAGAA
RNAcentral lists this long non-coding RNA (399 nucleotides) under Monodelphis domestica (gray short-tailed opossum). Its description in RNAcentral is "lncRNA (ENSMODG00000050507.1)". The record is from RNAcentral. Lineage: Eukaryota; Metazoa; Chordata; Mammalia; Didelphimorphia; Didelphidae.